CAGUCGCCGCGGGAAUACGAAGGGGGCUAGCGUUGUUCGGAUUUACUGGGCGUAAAGGGCGCGUAGGCGGACUGAUAAGUCAGGGGUGAAAUCCCAAGGCUCAACCUUGGAACUGCCUUUGAUACUGUUUGUCUUGAGUUCGAGAGAGGUAAGUGGAACUGCGAGUGUAGAGGUGAAAUUCGUAGAUAUUCGCAAGAACACCAGUGGCGAAGGCGGCUUACUGGCUCGAUACUGACGCUGAGGCGCGAAAGCGUGGGGAGCAAACAGGAUUAGAUACCCGUGUAGUCCCUGUCUCUUAUAA
RNAcentral lists this ribosomal RNA (301 nucleotides) under uncultured bacterium. RNAcentral's name for it is "partial 16S ribosomal RNA". It matches the Rfam family "Bacterial small subunit ribosomal RNA", at positions 509 to 809 of the family's 1533-position model. The record is from RNAcentral.